UACAGAGGGUGCGAGCGUUAAUCGGAAUUACUGGGCGUAAAGCGUGCGUAGGUGGUUCGUUAAGUCUGAUGUGAAAGCCCUGGGCUCAACCUGGGAAUGGCAUUGGAUACUGGCGACCUAGAGUGCGGUAGAGGGGUGUGGAAUUCCCGGUGUAGCAGUGAAAUGCGUAGAUAUCAGGAGGAACAUCUGUGGCGAAGGCGACACCCUGGACCAGCACUGACACUGAGGCACGAAAGCGUGGGGAGCAAACAGG
Molecule: ribosomal RNA, 253 nt
Filed under: uncultured bacterium
Lineage: Bacteria
Description: partial 16S ribosomal RNA
Rfam family: Bacterial small subunit ribosomal RNA
Source: RNAcentral